UACGGGGGGGCAAGCGUUGUUCGGAAUUACUGGGCGUAAAGGGCUCGUAGGUGGCCAACUAAGUCAGACGUGGAAUCCCCAGGCUCAACUUGGGAACUGCGUCUGAUACUGGAUGGCUUGAAUUCGGGAGAGGGAUGCAGAAUUCCAGGUGUAGCGGUGAAAUGCGUAGAUAUCUGGAGGAAUACCGGUGGCGAAGGCGGCAUCCUGGACCGAUAUUGACACUGAUGAGCGAAAGCUAGGGGAGCAAACGGG
Molecule: ribosomal RNA, 252 nt
Filed under: uncultured bacterium
Lineage: Bacteria
Description: partial 16S ribosomal RNA
Rfam family: Bacterial small subunit ribosomal RNA
Source: RNAcentral